UAUUGGACAAUGGGGGAAAGCCUGAUCAGCAAUGUCGCGUGUGUGAAGAAGGUCUUCGGAUUGUAAAGCACUUUCGACAGGGACGAUGAUGACGGUACCUGUAGAAGAAGCCCCGGCUAACUUCGUGCCAGCAGCCGCGGUAAUACGAAGGGGGCUAGCGUUGCUCGGAAUGACUGGGCGUAAAGGGCGCGUAGGCGGAUGGUACAGUCAGAUGUGAAAUUCCUGGGCUUAACCUAGGGACUGCAUUUGAUACGUAUGAUCUAGAGUGAGGAAGAGGGUCGUGGAAUUCCCAGUGUAGAGGUGAAAUUGGUAGAUAUUGGGAAGAACACCGGUGGCGAAGGCGGCGACCUGGUCCUUUACUACGCUGAGCGGAAA
RNAcentral lists this ribosomal RNA (375 nucleotides) under uncultured bacterium. RNAcentral describes it as "bacterial SSU rRNA". It matches the Rfam family "Bacterial small subunit ribosomal RNA", at positions 362 to 758 of the family's 1533-position model. The record is from RNAcentral.